This is a small RNA of 113 nucleotides. It matches the Rfam family "EcpR1". Rfam says of the family: Perviously named SmelC291, SmrC10, or Sra33. According to its overproduction phenotype it was renamed Elongated Cell Phenotype RNA1.
UACCCCAUGGAAUGCUCAGGUCCGCCGCAUCUCCUGGGUCCCGUGGGGCGGCCGGUCGGCAUCCGAAUACGCGGUUUCCUCGUACCGCAUCGGAAUCGCCGACCGGCCACUGA